This 540-nucleotide ribosomal RNA is filed under the name Caloplaca scythica. RNAcentral's name for it is "eukaryotic LSU rRNA". The stretch from base 206 to 359 matches the Rfam family "5.8S ribosomal RNA". Lineage: Eukaryota; Fungi; Ascomycota; Lecanoromycetes; Teloschistales; Teloschistaceae. The record is from RNAcentral.
CCGAGAGCGGGAUCGGCCUUCGGGCCGGGUCCCGGGGGGGUCUCGCCCCCCGACUCUUCCACCCCGUGUAUAUCUACCCCUGUUGCUUCGGCGAGCGUCGCGGUGCCUCGGCGCCGCGGCCCCGGCCUCGGCCGGUGAGCUCUCGCCAGAGGCCCAUCACGAUUCUGUUUCAGUGACGUCCGAGUACAACGAUUAAAUCAAUCAAAACUUUCAACAACGGAUCUCUUGGUUCUGGCAUCGAUGAAGAACGCAGCGAAAUGCGAUAAGUAAUGUGAAUUGCAGAAUUCAGUGAAUCAUCGAAUCUUUGAACGCACAUUGCGCCCCUUGGUAUUCCGAGGGGCAUGCCUGUUCGAGCGUCAUUGCACCCCUCAAGCGUAGCUUGGUAUUGGGCGCUCGUCACCGCUGCUUCGGCGGUGGCGUGCCCGUAAACUAGUGGCGGUCCAGGGAGACUUCAAGCGCAGUAAAACGUUCCGCUUUCGAGGUCUCGCCUGCGGUCCGGCCGGGAACCCCCCGAAAUUUCUCAAUGAUGACCUCGGAUCA